This 498-nucleotide ribosomal RNA is filed under the name uncultured Halomicronema sp. RNAcentral describes it as "bacterial SSU rRNA". It matches the Rfam family "Bacterial small subunit ribosomal RNA", at positions 129 to 659 of the family's 1533-position model. Lineage: Bacteria; Bacillati; Cyanobacteriota; Cyanophyceae; Nodosilineales; Nodosilineaceae. The record is from RNAcentral.
CCUUUAGGAGGAGUAUAACUGUUGGAAACGACUGCUAACACUCCAUAUGUCGAGAGAUGAAAUAAUUUAUUGCCUAAAGAUGAGCUCGCGCCUGAUUAGCUAGUUGGUGAGGUAAUGGCUCACCAAGGCCACGAUCAGUAGCUGGUUUGAGAGAACGAUCAGCCACACUGGGACUGAGACACGGCCCAGACUCCUCCGGGAGGCAGCAGUGAGGAAUUUUCCGCAAUGGGCGAAAGCCUGACGGAGCAAUACCGCGUGAGGGAUGAAGGAUUUUGGUCUGUAAACCUCUUUUCUCAAGAAAGAAGUUCUGACGGUACUUGAGGAAUAAGCAUCGGCUAACUCCGUGCCAGCAGCCGCGGUAAUACGGGGGAUGCAAGCGUUAUCCGGAAUCAUUGGGCGUAAAGCGCCUGUAGGUUGUUUAAUAAGUCUGUUGUUAAAGACUAGGGCUCAACCCUAGGAAAGCAAUGGAAACUACUAGACUUGAGUAUGGCAGGGGUA